UCGUGCUAGAUGGGGAGGUAGCGGUGCCCUGUUACCCGCAAUCCGCUCUAGCGGGAUCGAAUUCCCGUCCGAGGCCCGUUUUGCCAAUACAGCGGCUGGACCCGAGGGCGCUGAAGGCCGGAUUCCACGCAACGUGAGGCUUCUGAACUCCGUCAGGACCGGAAGGUAGCAGCGGUAAGAAUGCUGAUGCGUGUGCCGUGGAAAUAUCUGACUGGAGCCCGAGGGUACCGAACGAUGUUAGGUAACGGGUCGAAGAUGGGUGCACGA
This 267-nucleotide signal recognition particle RNA is filed under the name Candidatus Latescibacterota bacterium. Its description in RNAcentral is "signal recognition particle sRNA large type". It matches the Rfam family "Bacterial large signal recognition particle RNA". From Rfam's summary of the family: The signal recognition particle (SRP) is a universally conserved ribonucleoprotein involved in the co-translational targeting of proteins to membranes. Archaeal SRP consists of a 7S RNA and homologues of the eukaryotic SRP19 and SRP54 proteins. In most bacteria, the SRP consists of a 4.5S RNA and the Ffh protein (a homologue of the eukaryotic SRP54 protein). Lineage: Bacteria; Pseudomonadati; Candidatus Latescibacterota. The record is from RNAcentral.